AGCGAACGCUGGCGGCAGGCUUAACACAUGCAAGUCGAGCGGGCAUCCUUGUGGUGUCAGCGGCAGACGGGUGAGUAACGCGUGGGAACGUGCCCUUCGGUUCGGAAUAACUCAGGGAAACUUGAGCUAAUACCGGAUACGUGCGAGAGCAGAAAGGUUUAUCUGCCGAAGGAUCGGCCCGCGUCUGAUUAGCUAGUUGGUGAGGUUACGGCUCACCAAGGCGACGAUCAGUAGCUGGUCUGAGAGGAUGAUCAGCCACACUGGGACUGAGACACGGCCCAGAAUCCUACGGGAGGCAGCAGUGGGGAAUAUUGGACAAUGGGGGCAACCCUGAUCCAGCCAUGCCGCGUGAGUGAUGACGGCCUUAGGGUUGUAAAGCUCUUUUCUCCGGGACGAUAAUGACGGUACCGGAGGAAUAAGCCCCGGCUAACUUCGUG
Molecule: ribosomal RNA, 437 nt
Filed under: uncultured bacterium
Lineage: Bacteria
Description: partial 16S ribosomal RNA
Rfam family: Bacterial small subunit ribosomal RNA
Source: RNAcentral